This 427-nucleotide ribosomal RNA is filed under the name uncultured bacterium. Its description in RNAcentral is "bacterial SSU rRNA". It matches the Rfam family "Bacterial small subunit ribosomal RNA", at positions 354 to 796 of the family's 1533-position model. The record is from RNAcentral.
GUGGGGAAUCUUGCGCAAUGGGCGAAAGCCUGACGCAGCAACGCCGCGUGAGGGAUGACGGCCUUCGGGUUGUAAACCUCUUUCGAGCAGGGACGAUAGUGACGGUACCUGCAGAAGAAGCUCCGGCCAACUACGUGCCAGCAGCCGCGGUAAUACGUAGGGAGCGAGCGUUGUCCGGAUUCAUUGGGCGUAAAGAGCUCGUAGGCGGUUUGGUAAGUCGGAUGUGAAACCUCCAGGCUCAACCUGGAGCCGCCAUCCGAUACUGCCAUGACUUGAGUCCGGUAGGGGCCCACGGAACUCCUGGUGUAGCGGUGAAAUGCGCAGAUAUCAGGAAGAACACCGGUGGCGAAGGCGGUGGGCUGGGCCGGUACUGACGCUGAGGAGCGAAAGCGUGGGGAGCGAACAGGAUUAGAUACCCCAGUAGUCC